GAUGAACGCUGGCGGCGUGCCUAAUACAUGCAAGUCGAGCGAACAGAUGAGGAGCUUACUCCUCUGACGUUAGCGGCGGACGGGUGAGUAACACGUGGAUAACCUACCUAUAAGACUGGGAUAACUUCGGGAAACCGGAGCUAAUACCGGAUAAUAUAUUGAACCGCAUGGUUCAAUAGUGAAAGACGGUUUUGCUGUCACUUAUAGAUGGAUCCGCGCCGCAUUAGCUAGUUGGUAAGGUAACGGCUUACCAAGGCAACGAUGCGUAGCCGACCUGAGAGGGUGAUCGGCCACACUGGAACUGAGACACGGUCCAGACUCCUACGGGAGGCAGCAGUAGGGAAUCUUCCGCAAUGGGCGAAAGCCUGACGGAGCAACGCCGCGUGAGUGAUGAAGGUCUUCGGAUCGUAAAACUCUGUUAUUAGGGAAGAACAAAUGUGUAAGUAACUAUGCACGUCUUGACGGUACCUAAUCAGAAGGCCACGGCUAACUACGUG
Molecule: ribosomal RNA, 497 nt
Filed under: uncultured bacterium
Lineage: Bacteria
Description: partial 16S ribosomal RNA
Rfam family: Bacterial small subunit ribosomal RNA
Source: RNAcentral